GAAUAUUGGUCAAUGGAUGCAAGUCUGAACCAGCCAUGCCGCGUGCAGGAAGAAGGCCUUCUGGGUUGUAAACUGCUUUUGCCGGGGGAUAAAAAGUCCAUGCGUGGACAAUUGAAGGUACCCGGUGAAUAAGCCACGGCUAACUACGUGCCAGCAGCCGCGGUAAUACGUAGGUGGCAAGCGUUGUCCGGAUUUAUUGGGUUUAAAGGGUGCGUAGGCGGCCUAUUAAGUCAGUUCUGAAAUAUCCCGGCUUAACCGGGAGGGUGGGAUUGAUACUGAUGGGCUUGAGUGGACUCGAGGUAGGCGGAAUUGACGGUGUAGCGGUGAAAUGCUUAGAUAUCGUCAAGAACACCGAUAGUGUAGACAGCUUACUAGAUUUCAACUGACGCUGAGGCACGAAAGUGUGGGGAUCAAACAGG
Molecule: ribosomal RNA, 419 nt
Filed under: uncultured bacterium
Lineage: Bacteria
Description: bacterial SSU rRNA
Rfam family: Bacterial small subunit ribosomal RNA
Source: RNAcentral